GCGGUCAAGGGAAAUUCCCAUGAUGAUUGCUACAAUAAUACAAAAUCACCUAAAAUUUAAUCACAUAUAUCCAAAAAGCAAAACCAUUUAGCUUUGUAAUGAAACUCAUUUAAUGUUUUAACGGAAUCGCUUCUAACCUGGAUUUCUGAUACCACUAUGUAGCUGCAACGCGUCGACAGCUUAACUUUCAGCUACGGUGCUAAAUUGUUGACAUUUUGCUUUUAUUUUGUUUCCAUUUCAUUUUUCCCUAACUUAGGAUUACAUUCCUGUUAGAAUAACUUUUAACGAUCGAAAAGCAAAGAGAAACUAGCCAUUUCCACAGUUUCUGAUAGCUCAUCAAGGAUUUUGCUUAAUAUAGAGAUACAAUUAUUUCUGGUUGUUUCUGUAAUCAUAUCAAGAAAUUGUUGAAUUUGAUCCAAACCUGAAAAUUCAUUACCAGCUGAUCUUCAUCCAGUUACUCCUGACCCAAUUUUACUUACAAACUUACAUACUGCACUAAAUACCCAACAAGGAACGACAAAAUCUUCACAAACUUAAAAAACUCGACAGUCUACACCUACAAUUUUUGCUGCAAUAUCUUGCAGAAAUGGACUCAUGAUCAAGAACCAAUCCAUGCCCCAACAAUAACAAACCCAAUGGUACAGAAGCAAAAGAAACAACUUUGAUCCUCCAAUAAGAAAAAAAACCAAAAAUAACCUUAAAAAUAGAAUCAGCACUAUAUAAUUGAGCUAAUCAUGAUCACAAUUCCACGAAAAGAACUCAAAAGAAGAAAUUUUAAAACAUGGGUGAAAAAAAAAUUAAACGAUACUAAAUGGGUGAAUAGAUCAAAGGGUGGAAAUGGAAAAUAGGGGAACUAAAACUAACCCAC
Molecule: long non-coding RNA, 868 nt
Filed under: Panax ginseng (ginseng)
Lineage: Eukaryota; Viridiplantae; Streptophyta; Magnoliopsida; Apiales; Araliaceae
Description: long non-coding RNA (PGIN_LNC000797)
Source: RNAcentral